UGAGGAAUAUUGGUCAAUGGGGGCAACCCUGAACCAGCCAAGUCGCGUGAAGGAUGAAGGUCUUAUGGAUUGUAAACUUCUUUUAUACAGGAAUAAAUUGGGGGACGUGUCCCCUUUUGCAUGUACUGUAUGAAUAAGGAUCGGCUAACUCCGUGCCAGCAGCCGCGGUAAUACGGAGGAUCCGCGCGUUAUCCGGAUUUAUUGGGUUUAAAGGGUGCGCAGGCGGGAUGUUAAGUCGGCGGUGAAAUUUUGCAGCUCAACUGUAAAAGUGCCUUCGAUACUGGCCUCCUUGAGUGUGGAUGAAGUAGGCGGAAUUUGUGGUGUAGCGGUGAAAUGCUUAGAUAUCACGAGGAACUCCGAUUGCGCAGGCAGCUUACUAAGCCACAACUGACGCUCAUGCACGAAGGCGUGGGGAUCAAACA
RNAcentral lists this ribosomal RNA (422 nucleotides) under uncultured bacterium. RNAcentral's name for it is "bacterial SSU rRNA". It matches the Rfam family "Bacterial small subunit ribosomal RNA", at positions 355 to 774 of the family's 1533-position model. The record is from RNAcentral.